RNAcentral lists this ribosomal RNA (253 nucleotides) under uncultured bacterium. RNAcentral describes it as "partial 16S ribosomal RNA". It matches the Rfam family "Bacterial small subunit ribosomal RNA", at positions 524 to 776 of the family's 1533-position model. The record is from RNAcentral.
UACGUAGGGUGCAAGCGUUGUCCGGAAUUAUUGGGCGUAAAGAGCUCGUAGGCGGUUUGUCGCGUCGGCUGUGAAAACCUGGGGCUCAACCCCGGGCCUGCAGCCGAUACGGGCAAACUAGAAUUCGGUAGGGGAGACUGGAAUUCCUGGUGUAGCGGUGAAAUGCGCAGAUAUCAGGAGGAACACCGGUGGCGAAGGCGGGUCUCUGGGCCACAACUGACGCUGAGGAGCGAAAGCAUGGGGAGCGAACAGG